This 253-nucleotide ribosomal RNA is filed under the name uncultured bacterium. RNAcentral's name for it is "partial 16S ribosomal RNA". It matches the Rfam family "Bacterial small subunit ribosomal RNA", at positions 524 to 776 of the family's 1533-position model. The record is from RNAcentral.
UACGUAGGGAGCAAGCGUUGUCCGGAAUUACUGGGCGUAAAGGGUGCGUAGGCGGUUGCUUAAGUCAGAUGUGAAAUACUCGAGCUCAACUCGGGGGCUGCAUCUGAUACUGGGUAACUAGAGUGCAGGAGAGGAAAGUGGAAUUCCUAGUGUAGCGGUGGAAUGCGUAGAUAUUAGGAGGAACACCAGUGGCGAAGGCGACUUUCUGGACUGUAACUGACGCUGAGGCACGAAAGUAUGGGUAGCAAACAGG